CUCGCGAGGGAUGNCANUUAGUACGGCGAGUGAGCGGCAAAAGCUCAAAUUUGAAAUCUGGCACCUUCGGUGUCCGAGUUGUAAUUUGAAGAAGGUAACUUUGGAGUUGGCUCUUGUCUAUGUUCCUUGGAACAGGACGUCACAGAGGGUGAGAAUCCCGUGCGAUGAGAUGCCCAAUUCUAUGUAAAGUGCUUUCGAAGAGUCGAGUUGUUUGGGAAUGCAGCUCUAAGUGGGUGGUAAAUUCCAUCUAAAGCUAAAUAUUGGCGAGAGACAGAUAGCGAACAAGUACAGUGAUGGAAAGAUGAAAAGAACUUUGAAAAGAGAGUGAAAAAGUACGUGAAAUUGUUGAAAGGGAAGGGCUUGAGAUCAGACUUGGUAUUUUGCGAUCCUUUCCUUCUUGGUUGGGUUCCUCGCAGCUUACUGGGCCAGCAUCGGUUUGGAUGGUAGGAUAAUGACUAAGGAAUGUGGCUCUACUUCGGUGGAGUGUUAUAGCCUUGGUUGAUACUGCCUGUCUAGACCGAGGACUGCGUCUUUUGACUAGGAUGUUGGCAUAAUGAUCUUAAGCCACACGU
This 572-nucleotide ribosomal RNA is filed under the name Debaryomyces hansenii. RNAcentral describes it as "LSU rRNA". It matches the Rfam family "Eukaryotic large subunit ribosomal RNA", at positions 65 to 652 of the family's 3401-position model. The record is from RNAcentral. Lineage: Eukaryota; Fungi; Ascomycota; Pichiomycetes; Serinales; Debaryomycetaceae.